Molecule: long non-coding RNA, 1919 nt
Organism: Equus caballus (horse)
Lineage: Eukaryota; Metazoa; Chordata; Mammalia; Perissodactyla; Equidae
Source: Ensembl
CACAGCCUCGGCUCUGACUUCUAGCACCAGACGUUACACGGGCCUGUUCUAGACCUUUGUACGUGUGGACGCGUGCCGUACGCAGUCUGAGUCUGCCUUCUCUCACCCAGGUGGCGCGUUUGAGGUCCGCCCCUGCCGCUGGAGUCAGAGCUGCGCCCUCUCUCUUACUGAGUGCUGGUCCACGUAUGACGGACGGGUGACGGAGUGUUUAUCCAGCUUCCUGCUGAGGGACACCUGGUUGUCCCCAGUUUUUGGCGAAUGUGAGGGAAGCUGCUAGGAACGUCCCGGUAACACACGUCCUGUCUUUUUCUCUGGGGAGGUGGGGGCUGCCAGAGGGUUCUGAGCAGAGGAGGGACGUGGUCCGCCUUGGGCUAGCCUCUGACUGCCGGGCUGAGACAGGACUCAGGGCCGGGGUGCAGGCUGGGCCGGGCCGCAGUCCUGUGAUGGAGCCUGCAGCACAGUCCACAGGUGGGCCUCGGGGCUUCUCGCUCAGCUCAGAGAUAGGCUGCCCGAGAGGGGUCCAGGAAAAGCCGUUUCCUCUCAUCUGUAGAACGGGAGGAGCCCUCAUUUAUUCCCAGCACGUGGUGCAUCCCCUCUCCUUCCACGUCACAGCCCCGGUCCCUGCAGGGCCCUCGUUUGUCUCAGGUUGCCUCCAGAGCGGGCAGCGGAGCAGAGGGCCCCGUGCGCAGGUGUUAUGCUCAUCCCUGCAAGGUGAUGCCUGUCUGCUCUGGUCUGAGGGUUUGUCUCCCCCCAGAUUCAUAUGCUAAUUCCUAACCCCCAAGGUGAUGUGUAUGAGGCGGGACCUUUGGGGGGUGAUUAGGUCAAGAGGGUGGAGCCUCGUGAAUGGGAUUAGUGCUCUUAUUAAAGGGACCCCGGAGAGCUCCCUUGCCCCUUCUGCCCUGUGAGGAGGCACAGCAAGAAGAUGCCGUCUAUGCACCAGGAAGCAGGUCCUCACCAGACACCGAAUCUGCCGGGGCCUGGAUCUCAGCCUCCAGCCUCCAGAACUGUCAGCAAUAAAUGUCCGUCGUUUAUAGGUCACCCUGUCUACGGUGUGCAAGCAGACUGAGACAGCACCGUUACGGAGUAACUGCAGGCUUCACAUAAGAGAUGAAGCGAGAAGGCGUCCAGGCUUCCCUUCGGACCCCUACCUCCCGAGACAGAACUGAGGCCCCGUGUGCUUGGAGGGAAAGGAUGCUCCGGGCUGGCUGGGCUCCCUGGUGGACCCAGAGCACAGGCUGUGGUCUCCGCUUGGAGAUGGUUGUGCUGCCGGAAGAAGCAGCUGGUCUUUUGUUGGAGAAGAAACAUGGGGAUGAUGAGCACAGGUGGCCAACGUCGUCAUGGAGGGACUCGGUCUCUCUCCGCAGCAUCCAGAGCAGAGGAAGGAGCUCGGGGUAGAAGGCCGGUCCUGGUCCUGAAGCCACCCUGUUCCUGAGGGUCCUUCAUCGCUGCUCGUGUCCUUGCAGGAGGACAUGGUGCUUGGGCCCUACAACGCCCGGAGGAGCUGCCGGGAUGCCGAGCGCCUUGCAAGGGAACCGGAGCCAGAGUGAUGGGCGUCCUGGGGGCUCCUGGUGUGGAAAGGGCCUCUGUCGGCCGCCUGCUGGCAGCUGCUUUGUCUCCCUCCACUGGUUCUCUGCUCUGACUCCAUUUCUAAGGCUUUUCUUAAAUCAGCCCCUGGCAGGUUCCAAAUCAGAGGUUUGUAAAAUUCUUUCAGUGAUAUCCCAAGAUGAAAAAGCUCCUGGUUGGUCCUGAGAUGAGGAUGUUUGGACUGGCCGUGACACCCUUUUCUGGCCAGAGGCCUGUUCUACUGCCGCAAAUUCCCUGGGGCCUGUGAUGAAGCCAGCCCUGCUGGGCCUGUCCCCGAGGAGGAUCCUGACGUGCGGGUCCCACAGCUGAUUCGGUCAUAGAGGACAACUUCCAUC